Molecule: ribosomal RNA, 301 nt
Filed under: uncultured bacterium
Lineage: Bacteria
Description: partial 16S ribosomal RNA
Rfam family: Bacterial small subunit ribosomal RNA
Source: RNAcentral
CAGUCGCCGCGGUAAUACAGAGGGUGCGAGCGUUAAUCGGAUUUACUGGGCGUAAAGCGUGCGUAAGCGGCUUCUUAAGUCGGAUGUGAAAUCCCUGAGCUUAACUUAGGAAUUGCAUUCGAUACUGGGAAGCUAGAGUAUGGGAGAGGAUGGUAGAAUUCCAGGUGUAGCGGUGAAAUGCGUAGAGAUCUGGAGGAAUACCGAUGGCGAAGGCAGCCAUCUGGCCUAAUACUGACGCUGAGGUACGAAAGCAUGGGGAGCAAACAGGAUUAGAUACCCGGGUAGUCCCUGUCUCUUAUAC